CUCCUCUUCCGUUUGCCCGCAGUCUGGAAAUCAAAGAAUCCUUAUCAGUGCUUCCUUCCUCUCAGAAAGCUGGUAUUCGCAGCGUCCACCCGAAAAGUCUAUUGGCCUAAGCAAAUUCUUCCAAACCCCGCGGAGCUGAGAAAAGGGCUGGAUAUUGCAGUGGGCUGCGGCAGGCUGCCAACCCAGCACUUGGAGGAAAAUACUCCUCUUUACCACAGCUCUAAGGGGGUGGGAUAAAUAUGUGGCUGUCUCUAGUUGUACAUGUCUUAUUUCUACCUCUAUGCCUAACAUCUAUUUAUCUCUGGUUUUCCUCCUCACAUGUCUAGGGCACGGCUUUUACAUUCAGUCAAACUAGUGAAGACACAUGGUUACGCAUUUUCUGCUACCCAAAAUAAUCUCUCUCUCUCCCUCUCUCUGUCUCUCUCUGUGAAGCAAAUUGCUCUUUGCCGGUAAGGAAAGUAUUAAAGGUGCCAUAGCAGUGGCAGCUCCUUCUUGGGGAUACGCUGGGGUGCUACAAAAAAUCUCUAAAAUUCGGCAGCAUCUCCAUGAAGGCAGCCCGGAUGGCUGAUGUUAGCAAGCAGUGGGGAAUGAAGGGUCUGAUUGGAAUCUGAGGGUGCCAGACCUUGAGAAAUCGAUUUGUAGAGAGUCAAAGCCCAUUUUGGUGGCGGUGCUGCUGCUUUGUUGGGUCAACGUUAUACUCCAGAAUUCCGUAUUUUAGGGCAGCAGCACAACAAAGCCUUGGGCAGCAUCUGCUGCACCUUUCCCAGUACAUGGGACUGUGAUUUGUGUUACCAGUCACAGCUAGAAGAUCUGCCUUCUGAUUCCCCAGUGGGAGACAAGCCAUACCAACUUGCAGAGGAAGCCAAAUAAUUGUUGAUUAGACACUUCUUUUAGCAUGGUGUUUUCUGCCCUUUUAGCUGUCCUGGCAAUAUAGGCCAAAUCAGUUACUAGAUUAAAAGGUUGUUGGAAUUUUUUAAAUGCUCUGACAUCAGUAACCAACUCAGGAAUUUGCGGGGUUCCUUCAACGACUUGAACAUCCUACUCCCACUUCUGAGUUUUCGGAUCCUUCCAAGUGAUAACCAAUUCGUUUGAUUUUCCAGAGCCAUCUGUAAAAACUGUGAGGGCUUUAAGAGGAACCUUACCUUUUAGAGAAUUUGGGACGAGAUUGAAUGUAUCUUUUAGUAGCUUGUGUUUUGGAUAAUGAAUAGAGACUUGUUCGGGAUAGCUGUCUAAAGCAAACUGAAGGUGUUCAUUUGUCUGUAAUAGGGAUUCUAAUUUGUGUAGCUGAAAUGCUAGACAAAUGUAUGUUGGGUCACAUGCUGCAGGGAUUCGGAGGCGGUUCCUGCCUUAAUGAUUAAUUGAGCUAAAAGCUCUUCAGGGAUUGUAAUAGUUUUUUUGGUGUGGCAAAAAUACCCAUUCUACAAUUAACAAUUGUUCUGUAGAAGACCGGUCCCACUGAAAAAGCAGUGCCUGGAAAUGUGGGGAUUUACCAAGAAUAGCAAACUGGGAGGUUAGAGAGCGGUCAACGUGGUGUGCUUUUCGAGAUGAGAUAGCAGGUGCUACCUUUCGCAGCGCGUCGUGGGCAUCUGGGGUUAAGAUGCGCUGGGAAGUCAGGUCAUGGCUCCCCUUCAGUAGGCUGAACAAAGGGGACAGCUCUUCUCUCGUGAGUCCAAGCAGUGGUCGGAUCCAGGUGAUGGAGCCACACAACGGCUGUAAGUCCCUUAGCGCUUGAGCCUUAUCUUUGAUGGAGAUACUUUGGGGAAUAAUGGCUGGCUCACUGAUUAGGAAUCCAAGGUAUUUCCAUGGGGAGGUCUACUGGGUUUUUCAGGAGCCAUAUCAAAACCUGCAUCUUCAACUGCUGUCAUAGUCUUUCUGAUCACUGUGUUAAGGUAAGUCUUGUCUUGGGAGCAAAUUAAAAUGUCGUCCAUAUUUUGCCGAAUUAUAGCUUCAGGGAAGGCUUUCCUGAUUGGAGAUAGAAUCCCAGCCACAAACAUUUGACAUAAAACAGGGGAAGUUUUCAUUCCCUGUGGCAAUGUGACCUAAUGAUAUCUUUUAAAGGGUUCUUGACAGUUGAUGAUUGGUAUGGAAAAUGUGAAUUUGGGAGUGCGGGACGGAGAGGGAUGUUGAAUAAACAGUCUUUGAUAUCAAGGAUUGUGAGCUGCCAGUCCCUGGGAAGCACAGAAGGUGAGGAGAGGCCUGGUUGCAAGGGGCCCAUGUCUUCUAAAACAUCAUUUACUUUCCAAAAGUCUUGUAAUAACCUCCAUCUGUCUUUGCCAGGAUUUUUAUAAAAAGACAGGGGUCAGGGGCUAGUUGAUGGUACAAUGUGUCCUUUUAAUAAUUGUUGUCACACUAGGGCGUGGAGUGCUUCUAAUUUGCCAUUUGGAAAGGCCCAAUGAUCCACCCACACAGGAUCAUACCCACAGGGAGGGAUCAUACCUUUUCCCACAGAUGGACAACAGCCAUAUUGAGUGGUUUAGUUUUCAUUUCUUUUUAAUUCCCAAGGUUUCAUUUUUCUCAACAUUGUAAUACAGCAUCUCUAUUCAAAUCAUUAUACUCACCUUGGUUAAUUAAAUAUUUAUUAAUUUAUUUUCCCCCCAUAAUAUCAGACAAAAGCAUAGGACAAAAGCAUAGGAAGAACAACAAGCAAUUACAGAAAUACAGAAUCUUCCCUGAGAAUCCCUUGGGAACCAUGUUAAAACAAUGGGAAGGACAUCAACUUACUAAAGAUAAAGACCCAUGGCUCAAGAUUGUGCAUUGCAUGUUUGAAUGGCCAAAGAAGAAAUUAAAAUAAGGUCUGCGCUGGCUGAAGCAUGGGUCUACCAGGAUGUGGAUUUGCAAAGUACUUUACAAUUACGUCCAAAAUAAAUUAAAUGCAGACUUGGAUUGCAGUAUGUGGAGGUCUGAUUUAAAUAUUGGAACAGCGAAAAGGAAGUAGAAACAGAUAAAACAUACCAAAUUCUCUCUGUAAUGAUCAAUGAUAAAGACACAACAAGGAAAACCAAUCAACCAAGGUGGGACCCAUUAAAUUUCCUGCCCCCUACUGCACCUCCUAACGAACCAGCUGCAACUGCAGCUGAGUCAUUGGAGGCUUCAACGACUCAUGUAACUGAGAGGGCUGAAGAAGUUGAAAGUAGCAGUGGGACAUCAGAAGAAACGUAUAUUCUAUCAUCAUCCUCCAGGCAAAUUACAAAUUCAGCCAUGCAGGAAGUUCCAUCCAAUCAAGAAGGUCCAGGCUUCUUCACUUGAAGGAGAACCCUAGCAGUACAAAAAUGUUCCUCCUGCUCCAGCAGUAAAGAUAAAACAAAGGUGCCACCCCUCAGAGAGGUCACAAUGGGGGGGGGGGGGGGGGGUGUACAAGGUGGAAUAGGACAUGGAAAUGCACCCCUCACCUCUUCAGAAGUGAGGCAUUUUAAAAAGGAAAUGGAGAUAUCAUUCAGUGAUCCAGUAGGUUUGUCAGAAAAAGUUUACCAGUUCUUAGGCCCUAGGAUUUACCCUAGGGGCAAAUGAAAUUCAAAAAUGCAAACCCUUUUCUCUCCAGAGAAGAGAAAAGUUAUUUAGACUGCAGGGAUCAAUAUAUGGGACAGAGAACAUAAUUUAGGAACAACUGGAGAGAAGAAAUUACCGUUAACAGAUCCAGAAUGGAACCCUAGCUCAGAUGAGGGAAGAAAAUGUAUAGCAGAAUACAGAACCCGAAUUGUAAGGGGAAUAAAAGAGGCAGUCCCCAGAGUUAAUAACAUGAAGAAAGCCUUUGGUAGCGAAAAAGAAAAAGAUGAGAGCCCAACUGACUGUAUAACUCGCCUAAAGAAUAAUAUCCAAUUAUAUUUAGAAAGAGAUUUAGAUAGUGAAGAAGGGAAGACAAUGUUCUAGGUCCACUUUGUGUUACAUUCUUGGCCUGACAUAGAACAGAAAUUAGAGAAAUUAGAUGGAUGGCCAGAAAGGAGUUUAGAUGAGUUAUUAGCUGAAGCACAGUAAGUUUAUGCCAGGUGAAAUGAAGAGAAAAUGAAGACUAAAGCUAAGAUGAUGGCUGCUGUCCAAAUUCCUAAACCAAUUAGGCAGGAUGGGGAGAAUAUUCAAUUAAAGAAACCUAUUUGCUUUUAUUGUAAGAAAGAAGACCAUAUGCAAUCCUGCUGUUUUAAGACAUUGAGGGACUUAAGAGAUUCUCUAAGUGGAGAAUCAACCCUCAGAGAACUGAGGGGGUCAGGGGCUCUUCUUCUUGGGGCACAAAAACCAUCUUCAAGAGCCCUUGAUAAAAUCAAGAAUAGGACCCCAAGUACAAUUAAUGGAAUUUUUAGUAGACACAGGAGCAGAGAGAACUUGUGUAAGUGAAAAACGAAAUAGAUGUGCCAUAAGCAAAGACACUUUCAAUAUUUGUGCUGCUAAAGGGGAAUCCUUACCCAUCCCCAUCAUUAUGAAUGUCACUAUAAAGGGUAAUGGACUAACCAGAAAUGGAGAUCUGUUUUUCUACCUCCAGCAGGUAACAACUUACUUGGCCGGGAUCUCCAGAUACCUUUGAAAGUUGGAGUAGUUCCACAAGAAGGAAGGAUGAAGGUCAAAUUGUUUACUUUAUCCACACAAGAUGAACAACUGAUUAAUCCUACAGUGUAGGCCCGACCAGAUUCUCCUUCUAGACACCUGUUUGCCUUCACCUGGGAAGAUCCAGACACUGGAAGGAAACAGCAGCUCACCUGGACCUGGCGACUGCAAGGGUACAUGGAGUCUCCCACACUCUUCGGUCAGGCCUUGGAGAGGCUGUUCAUUUCCUUUUCUCCACCCUCAGGAACACAAGUAACACAGUAUGUAGACGACAUACUACUCUCCAGAGAGCAAGAAUCCACUGUAAAAUUAGGCACCAAUCAAUUACUGAACCUUCUAGGAGAGAAUGGACUAAGAGUAUCUAAAUCCAAAUUACAAUUUGUUAAACCGAAGUAAAAUAUUUCGGACAUGUAAUUGGUCAUGGUACCAGAAAAUUGAGUACUGAAAGGAUAGAAGGAAUUUUAAAUUUACAACCUCCACAAAAAAAGAGCGAGGUUAGACAAUUAUUAGGCUUAAGGAGGUAUUGUAGAAUAUGGAUUGAUUAACACACACAAAGUGUCACAAUUUUAUAUGAAAAACUAACUACAUCAGAACCUAUUAAUUGGACCCAAGAGGAUAAUAAAAACUUAGACAAUUUAAAGCAAAAGAUGAUUCAGACCCCAGUUCUCUUUCUUCCUUCACUAGAAGAAGAUUUUCACCUAUAUAUUAAACCUAUAUAGGAAUUACUUACGGGGUCUUGGCCCAAGAGUGGUCAGGAUUUCAUAAACCUGUAGCCUACUUGUCCAUAUUGUUGGUCCCUGUGUCCCAAGGAUGGCAAACAUGCAUCCAAUCAAUCGCUGCAGCAGCCAUCCUAGUAACAGCCAGCCAAAAACUUACAUUUGAGAGAAAUCUGAUAGAAUACAUACCACAAUCCAUCCAAACCAUUCUUAAACAACGAGCAGCCGAAUGGCUAACAGACUCUCAUAUUACACAAUAUGGGAGCACCCUCAUCCAUUCCACAAAUGUAACCCUGAAAACAACCACCCACACCAAUCCCACACAGUUCCUAUGUGGAAUCCCCAAAAACAAGAUCUCAUGCACAACUGCAUAGUUUUUAUAAACCUGCAAACAAAAAUUCAAGAAGACCUCCUAGAGAGCCCAUUAGAUGAAGGAGAAAUCCUGUUCAUCGAUGGAUCAUGUAGAGUAGUAAAUGGAAAGAGGUGCUCUGGAUACUCCAUCAGAGAUGGAAAACAACUGUACAUGUUAGAAAAGGAAAACUACCACCUUCCUGGUCUACCCAGGUAUGUGAAUUAGAUGCUUUGGAAAAAGCAUUGCACAGACUAGACAGAGCUAUUGGAACCAUUUAUACUGACUCUAAAUAUGCAUAUGGAGUAGUCCACACGUUUGGGAAAAGCUGGGCUGAAAGAGGGUUUCUCAGAUCUAAGGGCAAAGACAUUUUACACAAAGAACUUAUAUUAAAAAUUAGAGGCACUUAAGUUACCGAAAGAAAUUGCAAUGGUACGUGUUCCAGGUCAUCAAAAGGGAUCUCUGGAGAAACCAGAGGAAACAUCCUAGCAGACCAUGCUGCAAAGGAGGCUGCUUUUGAGGGGGAAGUAAAGGUAUACAGAUUUUAUCCAAGAGACACACCCGAGAGUACACUGGACAACACCCUUCCUAUCCCUAUUUUUAAAGACAAUGAAAAACAGAAACUCAUAUCACUAGGUGGAAAGGAAGAUUCCGAGGGACGGUGGCAUCUUCCUGAUGGCCACCAAAUGUUAAAUAAAGAGCUCAUUCGAGAAAUUUUACAGAACCUCCACAAUCCAUGCACUGGGGACCUAAAGCUUUAGCAGGAGAAACAACAUGAAUAGAACCAAGGCCAGUUCCAGGCAGGACGUUCCUGCAUUUAGGUCCCUUCCUGCAUCCAGGUACACUCCCAUGACAACCAAGGGGUUCGAACCCAGGAGAAAAACCAGAGAGCUUGAAAGGUCUGCACCACCUAUCAGAGAGUACCACGGCACUUCAAUCUUCCCAUUGACCCCUGAGCGAGGGAAGGGAAGGUUGAACUGGUUACUUGAUGCCACAGCAAUGGUGCAUACUAAUGAGAGAGCUUCCCAUCAAAAACCUCAGAGAUAUCAUCCCACCCCAAUGACAGCACACUCUGGGAAAGAAGAUCUUACCUCAUCAUCUACUAGCACAAAUCACCAGAGACUAUGGGGGCAGAACUGCAACUACAGACUGAGGGGACUGGGAACAUCAAAGGGGCAGCCUGGCCUGAAGAGCUGUCUUUGCUGUCUUUUACUGUUCCUGGGACUGUGACUUAGCUACAGCAGGGGACCCCACACUGCAGAUUUUGGUCAAUAUCUCUUUUUAGAGACCUUUUUCCAGAUUUGAGGGCAGACUAAGUGCAUUCACUGAAAUGCCCUUAGGUUCUUGCCUUGGGGCCAGACGCCAGUUCAGCUAGAGAUUUCCUCAAUCCUUGGGCCUGGGACUUUAUCCUUUUUUCUUUCUUUCCUUUCGUCUUUUUUCUUACCUCCCCUUUGUUUUUCCCCUUUAAAUAAACACCCUAUUUUUGUUCAAAUUGCCAAAGCUGUAUCUUUUUAUCACAUUCAGCAAA
Long non-coding RNA from Passer domesticus (house sparrow), 7126 nucleotides. RefSeq lists it as uncharacterized. The record is from RefSeq and is a predicted model, not a curated record. Lineage: Eukaryota; Metazoa; Chordata; Aves; Passeriformes; Passeridae. The transcript has 4 exons.